Molecule: long non-coding RNA, 8713 nt
Organism: Scylla paramamosain (green mud crab)
Lineage: Eukaryota; Metazoa; Arthropoda; Malacostraca; Decapoda; Portunidae
Exons: 3
Source: RefSeq, a predicted model, not a curated record
ACACACACACACACACACACACACACACACACACACACUUUUUCAUUGAUUCAUUUACCAUUCUGUUGUAAGACUCAGUAUCAUUUACUUUUGUUCAUAAUAAGUUUAAUUUAAGAUGGAUGAUACGAAAUACAUCAAUGUAUUUUAUGACUGUCAAUUUACCUUUAACCUUCUCAGUAUAAUGUCAAACUGCUAAUUGUAACAACUAAGUGUAAAGCUUCAAGUUGACGGGGAUUGCCAGGAUCUGAAUUUUGUGAUAUUGCGCAACGUGGCUUUUUAUUAGACUUUUACAUAAUAAUUUCCUAUAGAAGUACAGGUUUGAGCACCUAAUAAUAGUUAAUUUCUUUUGUAUCUGCUUGUGAUUAAUGAGACCUAAGGAUAUAGUCAACAGGCUACUUCAAUAUAAAAAAAAAUAAUGUCAUGAGCAAAUUUAUCAAGUUUUAUUGCUUAUCAGGACACGCUUAGAUUAAGUAGAUGCUUCAAGUAUUCAUAUCCACUGACAAGCGAGAUGAUGAUGCGGUGCAGUCACGAUGUAUUAUUGAAAAGAAUACAUCAAGCGAAGCAAGCAAGUGUCCCGCAGCCGGUGGCCAGCAUGGCGUGUGCUGGAGAUCCUGACAGCCUCUGCUAAUUUGGAAGUAGUGGAGUCCAGUUCAUGAUAAGAGAAAUUUCCAUUAUCAAUCCAUAAGUUUUCAGGUAAUAACUAUUUUCUUGAUAUAAGUAAAACAGCUAAAUUUACACUACCAUCACCACCACCACCACCACCACCAAUAUCAACAACAACAACAACAACAACAAAACCAGCACAAUACCAGUAACACCACCACCAACAAAAGCAACACACACAUCACCAAUAACAACACUUACUCAACAAAACAAUCUAUGUAUCUAUAUCUUUUUUUUUUUCUUAUGCGGUAGGGACACCGGCCAAGGUCAACAAAAAUCUAAUUAAGAAAAAAGCCCACUGAGAUGCCGAUCCCGAAUAGGGUCCGAAGUGGUGGUCAAAAACUGAUAAAUAAGUGUCUUGAAACCUCCCUCUUGAAGGAGUUUAAGUCAUAAGAAGUGGAAAUACAGAAGCAGGAAGGGAAUUCCAGAGUUUAUCAGAGAAUGGGAUGAAAGAUUGGGAAUAUUGGUUAACUCUUGCGUUAGAGAGGUGGACAGAAUAGGGGUGAGAGAAAGAAGAAAUUUUUGUGCAACGAGGCCGCGGGAGGAGAGGAGGCAUGCAGUUAGCAAGAUCUGAAGAGCAGUUAGCAUGAAAAUAGCGGUAGAAGAUAGCAAGAGAUGCAACAUUCUGGCGAUGAGAAAGAGGCUGAAGACAGUCAGUUAGGGGAGAGAUAAUGAAACCCUGUCUAAAAGAGCGGUAUGAGUGGAACCCCCCUAGACAUGUGAAGCAUACUGCAUACAUGGACGGAUAAGGCCCUUGUACCGAGUUAGCAGCUUGGGGGGAUGAGAAAAACUGGCGGAGACGUCUCAGAACACCUAACUUCAUAGAAGCUGUUUUAGCUAGAUAUGAGAUGUGAAAUUUCCAGUUUGGUUCAUAAGAAAAGGACAGACCGAGGAUAUUCAGCGUAGAAGGGGCCAGUUGAGUGUCACUGAAGAAGAGGGGAUAGUUGUCUGGAAGGCUGUGUCGAGUUGAGAGAUCAAUACCCAACCGAAUAAUUUCUCUCGCUACUAAAACGUAAAGACAAGCGCCAUAAACUUACAGCGUCGCCGCACCUGCACCACGUCAUCCCCAGUGGUCAUGGCGCCUGUGACCUUGAGUGUUGCAUGGUACGACUUUCUGGCACGAGGGUCCGGGGUGAAGGAGGUGGCGCGCAGCGAGGCACAGGUAGAGGGAGCGGCUGUGGUACCUCAUGACUCAAGCAGCGCACACGAGGAUUGACCCACCGUCCUUCAUCUUCAUCUCUCCUUUCCUUCCUCCCUCACUCACUCAUCUUCCUUCCCCAAUUCCUCUUUUUUUUCACCCUAUUUCUUUAUUUCUCUUCCUUUCUCUCAUCCCUAAUUCCUUUUUUUAUAUCCUUUCUAUUUCUUAAUUUCUUUUUCUUUAGUUUUAUCUUGCGUUCCUAAUUCCUUUCCUAUUGUUUUUUUAUUUAUUUACUUAUUAUCUAUUAUCUCCUCCACUCUCUUCUUUCCCUAAUUCCUUCCUUUUUUUUUGUCCUCUGUUUCUUCACUUCUCUUUGUUUAGUUUAUCCUCCAUUCUUUAUUCCUUCAUUUUUUUUCACCUAUUUACUUAUCAUUCAUUAUCUCCAUCACUCCUCAAUCUUUCACCAAUUCCCCUUUUUUAUCCUCUAUUUCUCUUUACUUCUCUUUCUUUAGUCUAUCUUCCAUUCUUCAUCCAUUUUUCAUUGCUCUUUUUCUUCAUAUAUUUAUUAUCUAUUAUCCCUCCUUCAUCCGUUACUUCUUUCCGCGUAUUUCUUCAGUUUUCUUUUUCUCUAGUUUAUCCAUUAUCCUUCAUCCGCUCCUCAUUAUCUUUUUGUUUUUCAUUACUGAUUUUUUUUUCGUUUAUUCAUCAUCCUUCAUCUCAUUUUCUCCAUUACUUAUCUUCUUCAGUCAUUCCUUUCUUUCGUAUUCAGUCCUCCUCUUCCUUUUCCUCUAGUUUAUCCACUAUCCUUCAUUUAUCCUUCAUUCUUUCCUUAUCUUGUCUACCCAUUCACCUUCUUUUUGUUUUCUCUUACUUUCCUUUAUUAUUUAUCUUCGUGCUUCAUUCCUCUUUCUUCACUUGCUUUCUUCUCAUUACUUCUUUAUUCAUAUUCAUUUUUUGAUCUAUUAUAUUUACUCUAUUAUAUCUCUGUCUCUCAUUCUGUCUUUUCGUAUCCAGUUCUCAUUUUCUCUAGUUUAUCCAUUUUCUUUCAUUUCCAUAUUUUCCUUCCUCCCACUCUCCUCUUCUUCCCUCCCCAUCUUUUUUUUUUCAUUUCUGUUUACUCAAUUCUUUCCUUAAAUUUAAACAUUGUUCCUCAUGCAUCCCCAAUUCUUCUCCUUCCUUUCUAUUUUCUCCCACUUCUUUUGCUUUAGUUUACCCACCGCCGUUCACCUCACUUCUUCUCUUUCUCCAUAAUAUAUCCUCUGCCUCCCUUAUCCCUUCCUUUCUUUUCUGUCCUUUACCUCUUUUUUUUCUUUAAUUUACCAACCACUCUUCAUCCCCCUUCUCACAUUCUGCUUCUCCUUCCCUCUUUCUUUUCUUUCCUUUCUGUUCCAUGACUUACUUUCGUUUCCUUUUCCUCUUUUUUACAGACGUCGUUCUAUCUUCGACUCGUUUCCAUCUUUCCUCUUCAUCUGCCUUCCCCGCUCACUUCUCUCUGUCCCUCAUUUCUUCCUGUCAUUCCGGUUUCUUCCUUUAUUUUCCCUUUCUCCUUUUUAUUAGUUACUUAUUUCCACUUUAAUUAUUCAAGUUCUCUCCUUUCUUCUUCCUUUUCUUUUGCUUAAUUCAAUUUUCCAUUCAUUUUCUUUCUAUAUUUCUUCAUUUUUUUUUCAGCUGCUCCUUCCUUGCUUUCCACUGUUCUCAACCUCCCUUUCCCUCUUUUCUUACAUUUCCUUCUUCGUAUUCUUCCCCUUCCCUUCUUUCUUCGUUAUUCUUGAUAUUUUUUUUCUGUUUUUGUUUUGUUUCUGGCUUCUCUACUCCAACUUUCCAAUCCUCGCAGACUCUCGAUCAAAACACGGUAAGCUGAAUGCACGGCCAGUCUCUCUCUCUCUCUCUCUCUCUCUCUCUCUCUCUCUCUCUCUCUCUCUCUCUCUCUCUCUUAUUUCCAAGUUAAAUAUUCCCUCUUCGUCUGUCUGUCUAUCUGUAUGUCUAUCUCUGCCUGUCUGUCUAUCUGCUGUGUGUGUCUGUCUACUCAUUUCGAAAUUAAAUACUCUCUCUCUCUCUCUCUCUCUCUCUCUCUCUCUCUCUCUCUCUCUCUCUCUCUCUCUCUCUCUCUCUCUCUCUCUCUCUCUCAUUUCAAAGUUAAAUAAAUCCUCGAACUCACGACUUGAUUAUAUUUAUACAGCCCGAAAAAGCGAGCGCUCGUCUGCCUUGUUUCCGCCCAGGCCCCUCAGCCCCACGCCGCCGCCCAUCCUGUCUCCCUCCCCCACCAACACCAUCACCACCAUCACUAGUCACACGUCCACAAAAAGACUAUCAGUGUGCCUCAUCCAAAGUACUACGAUGGCAUGUUUCAUUGUGAUGUCUUCAAAGCCCACGCAUGCUCACAGACUGCAAUGUUACCUGUGUACGUACGUGUGUCUAUUUUACUGUCUGUUUGUGACUGUUCCGUUUUUAUUAUGGUUGUAUGUAUGUAGCGUAGCGAUCGAGUUCGCGUGUUUUUUUUUUCGUACGUGGAAAUGAAACGUUUUUUUAAAAGACUAUGGUUAGGUUAAGGUCGUGAUUUGCGUGUUCAUGAACGUUAGCCGAUAUGUGAGAGAUGUUGCCAAGAAGUAAUGAUGAUGAUGAUGGUAAUAAUAAUAAUAAUAAUAAUAAUAAUAAUAAUAAUAAUAAUAAUAAUAAUAAUAAUAGUGUUAGUAAUUCUGAUAACAAUAAUAAUAAUAACAUUAAUAACAACAACAAUAAUAAUAAUAAUAAUAAUAACAAUAAUAAUAAUAAUAAUAACAAAAACAACAGCAUCAUCUCCAAGUAUCAGCGAGAGCAACAAACAAUCACGUACUAAACACGAAACUGCAACAUCGAUUUCGUCUCGCGGUGUUCCUCGCCCUGAGCGUGAGGCGGCGGUGGCCAGGCAGCUCCGGGCGGUGACGCAACCAAUGAUCGGUGAGGCAUCGGGCGCCGUGACCACACAGUAGAUUGCCUCAGUGAUCCUCGACCCUGCAAGCUGGUGGGUGGCCGCGAGAACACCUGCAUCGAGCGUGCAGACUCAUGGGAGAUUUGUAAUUCACUGUAGAGUCAAAGCUCCGGUCAAGGAGGUGCUGUGUUUGGGGUUCACAGCUUCCAACGUCCCCCUCUUGCGUUACAAACUUCUCCCCUAACCCUGCACUGUCUCGCCACCACUCACUGUAGCAAGAGAGCCGCUUCCACAUGCAGUUACUGCUAUUUCAACCAUAUCUGUGAGUUUAUGGCGCACGACACGCUUGGUACACGGCGGUGUAUUAUCGCGGUGUGUGUUACUGGAUACUCGUAUAUUUCGGGAGUGAACACAUUUCGGAUCAUACGUACUGACUCAAUGGAACAGAACAAGAGAACAAAGCGUCUCAUAAGCACCCACGGAACCACGACUGGCAAUACUGAGCAUGAAGUUAAGCGUUCAUAUUAGCUUGCCAUAAAAAUGCUCCAAGUUAAUUAACACUUAAGUGUAUCGAGGCAUUUACCAGCAUGGCCUGGCAGGCGUGCUGGCGACACGGGACGCAGGGCUUCGGUAGCGAGGUGAUGAAACAUAGCUUUUAUAAUUUUGGAAACGUGAAUAACACAUCUUACGCGAAUUGUUACGCUCGUGUAUUAGUAUGUUUACUUAUUACAGGAGCCUUAAUGACACGCUGGUUUAAUUAAUAUACCGAAGCAUGAAGAUCAGCGUCUUAUUUGUUGUGGGGAGAAAACGCGGUUGUGUAAAAUGAAAAGCAGAAUGGCGAUUAUGAUUAGAUGAGAAUCAGCCUAAUUUACUCUGGAGCGGCGGGAGGAGGAGAGGAGCGCGUCAGGUGACUGUGGCAGCAGAGGCCGUUGUCGGUGCAUGGGCGUGCCAACAAACAUUGGGCUCUCUUGCUCUUUUUUUAAUGAUCGCGAAGAAUCAUCACCCACUGGUGGGUCAAAGGGGCGGAAUUUUUCCGCGUACACAUGAAUCUGAGGCAAAAGGACAAGGCAUGCACACACACACGCAACCUCGCCUGGCUAAUGAAAUCGCCGUCAACACGGCUACUGACCAGCCAAAACAGAAGCACGUUUACUGAAUUUUAGGAAUCACCGCUCACUGCUUCUUCAGCUCACCACCAAGGUUUGCAGACUUCGCAGCAGCAGCAUCAGCAGCAAGCCGCGGGCCUUCCUCGACGGCUAUUUCCGCUACUUUUAUUGCGUCGACCGUUUUCAAUUUUCGGGUUAACUGCGAGCGUUUUGGUCGUCGUACUCCGCCAACUGUAGUAAAACUACGGACAUUACGUAUUUUGGAGCUUUCGUAACCUACGCGAAACGUGCGGCUGAGUGAUGACGAAAGAGCAAUAAAACUCUUAAGUGUGAAGAGGAGCAAAGGAUACACCAAACGGUAAGUCAUGUACACAGUAGUGGUGUAGUGAAUGCACGAAUACAUUAUGAGGUCGUUUGUUUAUCUUGAUCUCUGGGAAAACAAAUACAUAUAGAGUAAAAAAAAAGACGAUUCUUUCACACAUCGAUAGUGUUUGGUACAAACUACUCGGGAUUAAGGCAACGGGAAGUAACGGGGAUGGUACUGAAAAAAAAAAAAAAAACUUGGACAACCCGAAAUAGAAUGGAAAAGAAUAUCUAUGGUUUUAUUGUUUUAUCCUCCUCGAAUGUCAAGCAUGAUCACUGUUUAUUUCUUUUUCCUGUGGAGUAAAUUUCAUUUCAGGCAACCCAGCCUCACCCAGCACAUCCCCCGCACAGGCACGCCCCGCACUGCCGCACAGGACCCGCCGCUGCGAGGUGCUGGAGGCAAAACUAUAAAGCUCUCGUUAGGUUUCGUGCCUUCAAAAAAUUUCUUAUAAGCGUUGCAGAGUGUGACAGUCGAUCAGGGAAGGUUGUGUCCACCACGUGGCGGCAACAGGUGGAGCGCCACUGUCAUUGCUCUUACAUUCUGGUAAUGAUGCCCCCGUGGCCUCUACACGUGCCGGGAGAACAACAAAGAUGGUAAAUAUGUAUUGCAGGUGUGGAGGAUGCUCUUCCUUACUACAGAAUCACCCGAAAUUAAUCUAAUCGCUUGCAGUGAUUGUAUCAUUAUACAUUUAUUAUGUUUUAUCAUGUUUGUCUCGAACUUUGAAUUUGGCUUUUUAGGUUUAUCUGUUAUGUAAGUGUCCUCAUCAUUACGGGCACUUGGUGUUUAUUUUACGAAUCUUGAUGUUUGCAAUUUUCCUCCUAUUUUUCCACUUUCAGUACUGCAAUUCGUAAUAUAAAACUGAUUUUCUUUCCAUCUUUUAAAAUUAUUAUUGAAGGUCUUGCAGCCCGCCACUCCAGUGUCCAUCACGGGUGCUGUGGGCCAUUUCUUCACAGGGGCUGCUCAAACUCAACACAGAAUUUUAUAUUUCUCCUUUUACUUCUCAUUCGUUGCCUUCUCGCCUUUCCUACCCUGGCGUGCUCCGCGGCUGUCCUGCCGCCCUUUCUCGACUAUUCCAUUGUUUAUAAAAAGUUAUAUUGCACAACUUUUACAAUCAAGCCAAAUUAAGCGGUUUACUUUUCCCAGUCAUGAAAGGUGUUCCAAAAACUAAUCUGGCGUGUAUGUGUGUGUGUGUGUGUGUGUGUGUGUGUGUGUGUGUGUGUGUGUGUGUUUUCAUCUCUUUCAGCACAACUUCUGCACAUCGUCCUCACAAAAAAGGGAAGAUCGAUGCAGCCCUUUUGCCAACCCUGACACAACGCUGGGGAUCUUCUGGGACUGACACUUGCAAAGGGUCCACCGUCAGAGUCAACCGCGGGAGAGGAAACACUACAGUCACGAUGCAGCGACGAGGGAACAGAGAGGGCAGCGCCUCGGGCAGUGACCACGCGUAUAGGGAUUGAUUCUCUCUCUCCGCUACUGGACAGGCAGCGUUUGAUGUCAGUUCGUCAGCCAGACUCGCCCGUAUCUGUUGGUGUCUUACAAAGGCCAAUGGCAGCACUUCCUGCAACAGCAGCAGGAACACGACCGAGGAACAUAAGUAUUGACAGACUGGCCGAGCUGGGUGCUGCCACUACAGAUGGGAUGCGAGUCUGGGAACGCCACUAAAGAGCCAGGGAGAGUGCCACGUGUCCAAGCUGGGUCUGCAAAGUGAGCACCUUCCACUACCUCCAUCACCAUCCAUCCUGCACUACUACCUUCAUCCCGAGUCUGCUGUACGCCAACACCGUCCUGGUAACCUGUCUGGCGCCUCUCCAGGCUUCCACACGCUCCCCCAUCUCAGCCGUGUUCCUCCCAUGAUCUCCGCUGCGUUUACAUGAUGGACGAGGGUCAGGGUGUUGCCGAAGCGGAGCAGACCUACACGCGAUUCCCGAGGGACCAUAACAACGUUUGAAGCGAAGCCGCUGCUCGCACACGCGUACCUGACAACGAAGGACGACUACCUGUACGAGGAGAUGAAGAACGGCUCCUACAAAACUGCGUAGUGUGUGGCGGAAUAACGCUGUGAGUUCCGAGGCGCGUGGGAACAAGGGAGGAAUGUUUUUUCCUGUGCCCCUUCCAGCUGUGCACACUAAGCCGCGCUGAGUGCCUUGUUUUCUCCAGACUGCUAAUACAUGAGCACGCAACACGCACUGCACCCGACCUCAUUACUCAAACGGAUACUGUCUGUGUGAUUAUCAAAACAAAUUAACCGAGUUAGGAAAAACAAGAAAUAUUGAUGGUGCUAGAUGGGAAAAAAAUAUAUAAUUAUAUAAUGCGUAAACACAUUAACUAGUAAAAUACAGACAUACAUUAUCCAAUAAAGGUGUGCAUCUAGUCAUGCAACGCAGUGUUAUGGAAAGGUUAGUGAGAUUUACACCAUAAAACACAAAAACAUCAUCUAAAUAAAAGUUUUCGUGAUCAACAAAAUAUUUGAAUGCAGUAUCCAUGUACGAGGUACAGGACAGUAUGUAUAGCUAAUAAAUAUGACAUUUACAAUA